AACCUCCGCAAUGUGAGAAAUCGCGACGGGGGGAUCCCAAGUGCCAUUCUUAACGGGAUGGCUUUUCAUUAGUGUAAAGAGCUUUUGGAAUAAGGGCUGGGCAAGUCCGGUGCCAGCCGCCGCGGUAACACCGGCAGCUCUAGUGGUAGCAGUUUUUAUUGGGCCUAAAGCAUCCGUAGCCGGUUUAAUAAGUCUCUGGUGAAAUCCUGUAGCUUAACUGUGGGAAUUGCUGGAGAUACUAUUAGACUUGAGACCGGGAGAGGUUAGAGGUACUCCCAGGGUAGAGGUGAAAUUCUGUAAUCCUGGGAGGACCGCCUGUUGCGAAGGCGUCUAACUGGAACGGUUCUGACGGUGAGGGACGAAAGUUAGGGGCGCGAACCGGAUUAGAUACCCGGGUAGUCCUAACUGUAAACGAUGCGGACUUGGUGUUGGGGUGGCUUUGAGCUGCUCCAGUGCCGAAGGGAAGCUGUUAAGUCCGCCGCCUGGGAAGUACGGUCGCAAGACUGAAACUUAAAGGAAUU
This 521-nucleotide ribosomal RNA is filed under the name uncultured bacterium. RNAcentral describes it as "bacterial SSU rRNA". It matches the Rfam family "Archaeal small subunit ribosomal RNA", at positions 345 to 866 of the family's 1478-position model. The record is from RNAcentral.